RNAcentral lists this ribosomal RNA (403 nucleotides) under uncultured Peptoniphilus sp. RNAcentral describes it as "bacterial SSU rRNA". It matches the Rfam family "Bacterial small subunit ribosomal RNA", at positions 355 to 776 of the family's 1533-position model. The record is from RNAcentral. Lineage: Bacteria; Bacillati; Bacillota; Tissierellia; Tissierellales; Peptoniphilaceae.
UGGGGAAUAUUGCACAAUGGGGGGAACCCUGAUGCAGCGACGCCGCGUGAGCGAAGAAGGUAUUCGUAUCGUAAAGCUCUGUCCUAUGGGAAGAUAAUGACGGUACCAUAGGAGGAAGCUCCGGCUAACUACGUGCCAGCAGCCGCGGUAAUACGUAGGGAGCAAGCGUUGUCCGGAAUCACUGGGCGUAAAGGGUUCGCAGGCGGCAAUGCAAGUCUCGUGUGAAAGGCAAGGGCUCAACCCUUGUAAGCACAAGAAACUGCAUAGCUUGAGUAGUGGAGAGGCAAGUGGAAUUCCUAGUGUAGCGGUGAAAUGCGUAGAUAUUAGGAGGAAUACCGGUGGCGAAGGCGACUUGCUGGACACAAACUGACGCUGAGGAACGAAAGCGUGGGGAGCAAACAGG